GCGUAAUUAGUAUGACUGUAAUCACUCAAAGAGUUUGGCAUUGUGGUUCAUCAUCGUCUAGAGUAUAUAAAGCAGACAUGAGCCUCAGCAAAGUAAUCAAAGUAUUUUUGAGAUCGAACAAACGAUGAGGUCAGCUUCAGCUGCGCUGCUGUUUGUUUCCUGCCUUUUGGCUGUGAUUUACUACAGUGCGGUGAAUUGUACAAAACCACAUGGCGCAUUCGGUGUAGAGAGAGCAACAGGCGAUCCGCAGGAAAAAAGAGAACUUUUUACAAUAGUUGUUAAUUGGAUAUCUAAACUCAUUCGAAAUUUUGUAAAAUGAACUUUUAUACAUAUUUGCUAUAAAUAAAGUUUUUUUCCCCCUUUGUCAAGGGGUUUUCUUUAUUUAUUU
This is a long non-coding RNA of Drosophila sulfurigaster albostrigata, 388 nucleotides long. RefSeq lists it as uncharacterized. Lineage: Eukaryota; Metazoa; Arthropoda; Insecta; Diptera; Drosophilidae. The record is from RefSeq and is a predicted model, not a curated record. The transcript has 2 exons.